UACUAACUCUGGCGGCGUGCUUAACACAUGCAAGUCGAACGGAAAGGCCCUGCUUUUGUGGGGCGCUCGAGUGGUGAACGGGUGAGUAACACGUGAGUAACCUGCCCUUGACUUUGGGAUAACUUCAGGAAACUGGGGCUAAUACCGGAUAGGAGCUCCUGCUGCAUGGUGGGGGUUGGAAAGUUUCGGCGGUUGGGGAUGGACUCGCGGCUUAUCAGCUUGUUGGUGGGGUAGUGGCUUACCAAGGCUUUGACGGGUAGCCGGCCUGAGAGGGUGACCGGCCACAUUGGGACUGAGAUACGGCCCAGACUCCUACGGGAGGCAGCAGUGGGGAAUAUUGCACAAUGGGCGGAAGCCUGAUGCAGCAACGCCGCGUGCGGGAUGACGGCCUUCGGGUUGUAAACCGCUUUCGCCUGUGACGAAGCGUGAGUGACGGUAAUGGGUAAAGAAGCACCGGCUAACUACGUG
This 468-nucleotide ribosomal RNA is filed under the name uncultured bacterium. RNAcentral describes it as "partial 16S ribosomal RNA". It matches the Rfam family "Bacterial small subunit ribosomal RNA", at positions 29 to 507 of the family's 1533-position model. The record is from RNAcentral.